GAUUAUUGAAAGGUGCUUGCAUCUUGAUUUAAUUUUGAACGAGUGGCGGACGGGUGAGUAACACGUGGGUAACCUGCCCUUAAGCGGGGGAUAACAUUUGGAAACAGAUGCUAAUACCGCAUAAAUCCAAGAACCGCAUGGUUCUUGGCUGAAAGAUGGCGUAAGCUAUCGCUUUUGGAUGGACCCGCGGCGUAUUAGCUAGUUGGUGAGGUAACGGCUCACCAAGGCAAUGAUACGUAGCCGAACUGAGAGGUUGAUCGGCCACAUUGGGACUGAGACACGGCCCAAACUCCUACGGGAGGCAGCAGUAGGGAAUCUUCCACAAUGGACGCAAGUCUGAUGGAGCAACGCCGCGUGAGUGAAGAAGGCUUUCGGGUCGUAAAACUCUGUUGUUGGAGAAGAAUGGUCGGCAGAGUAACUGUUGUCGGCGUGACGGUAUCCAACCAGAAAGCCACGGCUAACUACGUGCCAGCAGCCGCGGUAAUACGUAGGUGGCAAGCGUUAUCCGGAUUUAUUGGGCGUAAAGCGAGCGCAGGCGGUUUUUUAAGUCUGAUGUGAAAGCCCUCGGCUUAACCGAGGAAGUGCAUCGGAAACUGGGAAACUUGAGUGCAGAAGAGGACAGUGGAACUCCAUGUGUAGCGGUGAAAUGCGUAGAUAUAUGGAAGAACACCAGUGGCGAAGGCGGCU
This 687-nucleotide ribosomal RNA is filed under the name uncultured Bacilli bacterium. RNAcentral describes it as "bacterial SSU rRNA". It matches the Rfam family "Bacterial small subunit ribosomal RNA", at positions 57 to 726 of the family's 1533-position model. Lineage: Bacteria; Bacillati; Bacillota; Bacilli. The record is from RNAcentral.